Molecule: long non-coding RNA, 424 nt
Filed under: Suricata suricatta (meerkat)
Lineage: Eukaryota; Metazoa; Chordata; Mammalia; Carnivora; Herpestidae
Description: lncRNA (ENSSSUG00005003122.1)
Source: RNAcentral
AUGGAGUGGUUUUGGGGAAGUCCCCUUGAGCACCCUCUGUGGGGCGCACUGGUUCCUUCCUCAGAGGACCGCAGUGUGUUUGUGCCUUCUCUUCCUUCCUGUCCGCAGCAAGAGGAAGGUGCUGCAAAUGCCCCGGGCUGGGGCCCCGGCCUUCCCGGGCUGGUCUCUUACAGAAGAGCCAACGCGCGCCCUUUGUACGGACGAGUUCUGGUGCCCUGCGCACUUUCUCCUGGCCCCAAGCACCUGCGCCCAGAGGGCUCACGGAGCAAGGAGGCCGGCAGUAGUCCUGUCUGUCCUGCGGCCACUAGGGGACGCUGUGUGGCUGCUCAUGACGGACACGGAGCCUCUUCCACAGAAGAUCCAAGGUCAUCUCCUUCAGGAUUUGGUUUGCAAUCUUCGCCCACUGCUUUAAGGAUUCUUUAUU